CGUAGGGUGCGAGCGUUAAUCGGAAUUACUGGGCGUAAAGCGUGCGCAGGCGGUUUUGUAAGACAGGCGUGAAAUCCCCGGGCUCAGCCUGGGAACUGCGCUUGUGACUGCAAGGCUAGAGUACGGCAGAGGGGGGUGGAAUUCCACGUGUAGCAGUGAAAUGCGUAGAGAUGUGGAGGAACACCAAUGGCGAAGGCAGCCCCCUGGGUCGAUACUGACGCUCAUGCACGAAAGCGUGGGUAGCAAACAGGAUUAGAUACCCUGGUAGUCCACGCCCUAAACGAUGUCAACUAGGUGUUGGGUGGGUAAAACCAUUUAGUACCGGAGCUAACGCGUGAAGUUGACCGCCUGGGGAGUACGGCCGCAAGGUUAAC
RNAcentral lists this ribosomal RNA (374 nucleotides) under uncultured organism. RNAcentral's name for it is "bacterial SSU rRNA". It matches the Rfam family "Bacterial small subunit ribosomal RNA", at positions 526 to 898 of the family's 1533-position model. The record is from RNAcentral.